Molecule: ribosomal RNA, 492 nt
Filed under: uncultured bacterium
Lineage: Bacteria
Description: partial 16S ribosomal RNA
Rfam family: Bacterial small subunit ribosomal RNA
Source: RNAcentral
AGUGAACGCUGGCGGUAGGCCUAACACAUGCAAGUCGAACCGCAGCACAGUAAGAGCUUGCUCUUACGGGUGGCGAGUGGCGGACGGGUGAGGAAUACAUCGGAAUCUACUUUUUCGUGGGGGAUAACGUAGGGAAACUUACGCUAAUACCGCAUACGACCUACGGGUGAAAGCAGGGGAUCUUCGGACCUUGCGCGAUUGAAUGAGCCGAUGUCGGAUUAGCUAGUUGGCGGGGUAAAGGCCCACCAAGGCGACGAUCCGUAGCUGGUCUGAGAGGAUGAUCAGCCACACUGGAACUGAGACACGGUCCAGACUCCUGCGGGAGGCAGCAGUGGGGAAUAUUGGACAAUGGGCGCAAGCCUGAUCCAGCCAUACCGCGUGGGUGAAGAAGGCCUUCGGGUUGUAAAGCCCUUUUGUUGGGAAAGAAAAGCAGCAGGUUAAUACCCCGCUGUUCUGACGGUACCCAAAGAAUAAGCACCGGCUAACUUCGUG